AGACUCCUGGCCAAUUAGCGGCCGGCAAGUGUAGACAAGUGUAGACAAGUGUAGACUCCUAUGCACUCGCCUGGCUCUCACGUCUGCGAACUCCCCAAAUGUGGGAAUCUCGAUUGCAUAAUUUCUGGUAGUGGGGACUGCGUUCGCGCUCUCCCCU
The sequence is a small nuclear RNA, 157 nucleotides long. Its record names the gene U1. It matches the Rfam family "U1 spliceosomal RNA". Rfam says of the family: U1 is a small nuclear RNA (snRNA) component of the spliceosome (involved in pre-mRNA splicing). Its 5' end forms complementary base pairs with the 5' splice junction, thus defining the 5' donor site of an intron. The record is from Ensembl.